RNAcentral lists this long non-coding RNA (299 nucleotides) under Manihot esculenta (cassava). RNAcentral describes it as "long non-coding RNA (MESC_LNC000552)". Lineage: Eukaryota; Viridiplantae; Streptophyta; Magnoliopsida; Malpighiales; Euphorbiaceae. The record is from RNAcentral.
GGGUAUUUUCUAACUCUAUACAGCUCUGACAGACUUCUUGACAUUUUACAGUCCUGACGAACUUUUGGCACUAAAUGCCUUUGCGAGUUUUCGAGCAUCAAAUGCCUUAGAAUCUUUUUUGUGAAGUGGGACUAACACCCGGUAAGUCGGCCGGGCCUGUAUUCGCCUUCACGCCUAGCAUCAAAUGUCUUAGAAAUUCUCGUGAAGUGAGACUAUCACCCAAUAGGUCGGAUUGGCGUGUACCCGCCUUCAGGCCUAGCAUUAAAUGUCUUAGAAUCUUCUCAUGAAGUGAGAGUAAC